GCCUUGGUGUAUUUAUUACUGCUUCAGCUUCUGAUAACUUGUGAAAAUCGUCCAUCAGGAUAGCGGGAUUGAUGAAGCGGAAUGUGGGAGAAAAGUUUGCUUGAGUCGGUUAUCAGUUUGAAGUUGCGAUAAAGAGCAGCAAAGAUGAUGCAUUCUUCGACUCCCAGCCUUGGUUGGAGUCAGAUUGUGAAGAUGACUUCUUAAGCGUGAAUGGUGAUUUCACCCCGUCUCGUGGAAGCACUCCUGUCCACCACAGAUUCUCUUCUGGGAAUCCAAC
Molecule: long non-coding RNA, 277 nt
Organism: Salvia splendens (bonfire salvia)
Lineage: Eukaryota; Viridiplantae; Streptophyta; Magnoliopsida; Lamiales; Lamiaceae
Exons: 3
Source: RefSeq, a predicted model, not a curated record